Molecule: transfer RNA, 71 nt
Filed under: Veillonellaceae bacterium
Lineage: Bacteria; Bacillati; Bacillota; Negativicutes; Veillonellales; Veillonellaceae
Description: tRNA-Thr
Rfam family: tRNA
About the family: Transfer RNA (tRNA) molecules are approximately 80 nucleotides in length. Their secondary structure includes four short double-helical elements and three loops (D, anti-codon, and T loops).
Source: RNAcentral
GCCAAGGUAGCGGAGUGGCAACGCGGCUGAACUGUAAUCAGCAGGUCCUGGUUCAAAUCCGGGCCUUGGCU